This 301-nucleotide ribosomal RNA is filed under the name uncultured bacterium. RNAcentral's name for it is "partial 16S ribosomal RNA". It matches the Rfam family "Bacterial small subunit ribosomal RNA", at positions 509 to 807 of the family's 1533-position model. The record is from RNAcentral.
CAGUCGCCACGGUAAAACGGAGGGUGCUAGCGUCGUUCGGAAUUACUGGGCGUAAAGGGUGCGUAGGCGGUUUGGCAAGUUUGGUGUGAAAUCUUCGGGCUCAACUCGAAGUCUGCAUCGAAAACUGCCGGGCUUGAGUAUGGGAGAGGUGAGUGGAAUUUCCGGUGUAGCGGUGAAAUGCGUAGAUAUCGGAAGGAACACCUGUGGCGAAAGCGGCUCACUGGACCAUAACUGACGCUGAUGCACGAAAGCUAGGGGAGCAAACAGGAUUAGAUACCCGGGUAGUCCCUGUCUCUUAUAC